This 253-nucleotide ribosomal RNA is filed under the name uncultured bacterium. Its description in RNAcentral is "partial 16S ribosomal RNA". It matches the Rfam family "Bacterial small subunit ribosomal RNA", at positions 524 to 776 of the family's 1533-position model. The record is from RNAcentral.
UACGUAGGGGGCAAGCGUUGUUCGGAUUUAUUGGGCGUAAAGAGCGCGUAGGCGGCCAGGUAGGUCCGCUGUGAAAACUCGAGGCUCAACCUCGAGAUGUCGGCGGAAACCAUCUGGCUAGAGUCCGGAAGAGGAGAGUGGAAUUCCUGGUGUAGCGGUGAAAUGCGCAGAUAUCAGGAAGAACACCCGUGGCGAAGGCGGCUCUCUGGGACGGUACUGACGCUGAGGCGCGAAAGCUAGGGGAGCAAACAGG